Molecule: ribosomal RNA, 262 nt
Filed under: uncultured bacterium
Lineage: Bacteria
Description: partial 16S ribosomal RNA
Rfam family: Bacterial small subunit ribosomal RNA
Source: RNAcentral
GUCCACGCCGUAAACGAUGAAUACUAGGUGUCAGGGAGCACAGCUCUUUGGUGCCGCCGCAAACGCAUUAAGUAUUCCACCUGGGGAGUACGUUCGCAAGAAUGAAACUCAAAGGAAUUGACGGGGACCCGCACAAGCAGCGGAGCAUGUGGUUUAAUUCGAAGCAACGCGAAGAACCUUACCAGAUCUUGACAUCCUUCUGAAAAUCCUUAGCCGGAUUCCUCCUUCGGGACAGAAGAGACAGGUGGUGCAUGGUUGUCGU